UACGGAGGAUCCGAGCGUUAUCCGGAAUUAUUGGGUUUAAAGGGUGCGUAGGCGGCCAUGCAAGUCUGGAGUGGAAGUCCAUCUUUCAAGGGUGGAAUUGCUUUGGAAACUGUGUGGCUGGAGUGCAGGAGAGGUUAUCGGAAUUCCCGGUGUAGCGGUGAAAUGCGUAGAGAUCGGGAGGAACAUCAGUGGCGAAGGCGGGUAACUGGACUGCAACUGACGCUGAGGCGCGAAAGUGUGGGGAGCAAACAGGAUUAGAUACCCCGGUAGGU
RNAcentral lists this ribosomal RNA (272 nucleotides) under uncultured prokaryote. RNAcentral describes it as "partial 16S ribosomal RNA". It matches the Rfam family "Bacterial small subunit ribosomal RNA", at positions 524 to 794 of the family's 1533-position model. The record is from RNAcentral.